Molecule: non-coding RNA, 3411 nt
Organism: Cinara cedri
Lineage: Eukaryota; Metazoa; Arthropoda; Insecta; Hemiptera; Aphididae
Source: the annotation of a GenBank genome assembly
AAAUGUAUAAGAGUAUUUACUUCUAUCAAAGAUAAAUUAAUAAACCACAUGCGUUAACUUAAAUUAACAAUAUAUCAUUAAUAAACAGUAAAAAAAAAAAAAAAAAAAAAAAAAAAAAAAAAAAAACAAUAGAAUAUUAGAAAAUACUUAGUAUAGUAUAGUAGUUUAGAACUAAUUAUGCAUAUUGGACUCCCACAGAACGUAUAAUUACUACUUCCAAAUGUAUAAAUGAAAAGGAAAUGAAUCUAAGACUGCGAAAAUAAAUAAAUAUGUAUUUUUUGAAUUACUGAUACGUACGAGAAACUAUGGUAUAUUCAGAUAUAUAAUUCACAAUGGUAUAUUCGGAGUUUAAUUUUAAAACCUAUCAAACUCUAUAGCAAUCUAAAAUUAAAUUAAAUUAAAUUAAAAAACUUUUUUAAUAUAAUUUUACUCUGAAAAUUGUACAAUAAAAUUUAAGUGAUACAAAUAAAUACAAUUUAUAUAAAAAAGUACAUUUAUACACGAGUAAAAAUAAUUCAAUAGAACGUAUAAAGUUUCAGAUGUAUUAAAAAGUUAAAUCUUACAUUAUAGACAAAAACGUAUGUUUUAAGACUAUACACUGUAACAAUAGCCACUAUGACGGUACAAAAAAAAUUAAAAAUAAAUAUCUACAAUCUACACGAGAGUACAUAGAAUUCCUCAAUUUGGCCCUUAUGUCAUUCUAAAGUUAAUACUUUAAUAAUUAAAUAUAGUUGAUAACAAUGGUUUAAUACUUUCUUAAACCCAGAUCUAAUAAGAUCUAAUUUUAAAAAAAAAUAUCACUAAGCUUAUAUAAAUACAAAUAAAAACAAUUAAAAUAAAACAAAUUACACUUAUUCAAGAGUACAAAGAAUUCAAUAGAGUAAAUAAGGUUUCAAACAUAAUAAACAGUUAAAAUCUUACAUACUAGGUAACAACUUAUAUCUAAAGACUUAUACACUACUCGUGAGACCACUGUAACAAUGGCCGCUAUGAUGGUAUAAGAAAAAUUAAAAAUAAACAUCUACCGUCUACACGGGAGUGGAUAGCGAUUCUCUCAGUAGGUCCUUAUUUAGUUCUAAAUUUAAUAUUAAGAUCUAAUUUUUUAUUAUUAAGAAAUAAAUAUCAAAAAUGUACAUAAAGAAAAAACACCAAAUAAAUUACACGAUUAUCUAUAUCUUUUAAGCUAAUAGCUUGUAUUAGAGAUAGAGACUAAUACAAUAUAAUAAUAACUAUUUAUGAAUAACAUUUUAAAAGAUUUACGUUAUAUUAUUUAGAUAAUUUAUUAUUUUAUUAUUAAUAUUUAGAAAAUAAAUUUGCGAACAUGAAAAAUGAAAAAUAUUUAAUUAGGAUUAAAAUAUUAGGUAUCUGCUAAAAUAAAUAAAAUAUGAUUGGUUGAUAUAGUUUUCGUAAAUAAAAUCCUAAUUUGGUCUCCAUUUAUAAAAAUUCAACACGCCUGUUGUUUUAUUUCUCGUGAAUUUUUAAUUAUUGAAUUAUGUUUGAAAAUUAAUUUAUGUGAACUCCUAACAAGUUAGGUUAUAUUAAAUAUCUGUAAGAUAUACAAUUUUUAUUUAAGUGUCAUAGCCCCCAUUUUUUAUUUUUGCUAUUCAAAAACUGGGGAAAUAAAAUACUUACAAGUGUUAAAAAAUAAUAAUAAUUAUAGGUAACUAAAAAAUAUAGACAAUAUUUAUUUGGACGUGUGAAAUGUAAACAUGAAUAGUAUAAGGUAUAGGGUAAUUCGGCGUAUAGGGAUAUUUGGAAAUAUAUAUCAAAACCAAAUUCUAAAGCAUUUUCAUAUAGAAUUUUAAUUUCAGAAAAAUAUUAGCUGCAUUGUUAAUGAAAAUAAGUAUAACUUAUAAUGUAACAUAAUAUUAAAAACUUACAUCUAGAGACUAUACAACAUACGCGAGCCCACUUAAAUGGCCACUAUAAUGGUAUAAAUACCGUUUCCACGAGUGUGUAUAGUUUAAUAAUUAAAUUAAUAGUAAUAGUUUAAUUACAUUAAUACUAAUGCAAUUGCGUGUCCUUAUCUCAUCCUAAAAUUAAUAUUAAAUAAUUUUAUACUAAAAUAAAUAAAUUUAAUUAGUAAGGUCUAAAUUAAAAAAAAAAUAAAAAAAAAAAAAAAAAUAUGGUACCUUGAUAAAGGAGAAAUAAAUAAUUUACUUAAAUUAUAAUUUAUUAUUAUAGUUAAGUUAGAAUAGGCUUUUAAUUUAAUAACCUAUGUUUUAAGGUAUGUAUAGUUAUAACUAAAAGGCGCUCACGUGCAAACACGUACAGUGUACAAUUGUUAUUUUAAAAGUAAUUCAAAUAAGUCUCAAUUUCAGAAUGUUCAACACACGUAAAAUAAUAUAUAUAAAAAUGCCGUUAAAGUAAAGAAUGUACACUUAUACAUGAAUAAAAUCAAUUUAAUAGAAAAAUAAAGUUUCAGAUGUAAUAAAUAGUUAACAUCUUAAAUACUAGGUAAUAACUUAUAUCUAGAGACUAUACAUCACCCGCGAGCCCACUGUCACAAUGGCCGCUAUGACGGUAUACAAAUAAUCAAAAAUAUCUACCGUCUCCACGGGAGUGUAUAGUUGUUAUUCAAUGGGUCCUUAUCUCGUCAUAAACUUAAUAUUAAGAAAGUUAAAUUUAACUUACAAAUUAAUGAUAAAUUUUAUUAGGUAGAUUUACUUUUAAAAAAUUUAAAUUUACUCUCGUAGUCAAGGAAAAAUAAAUAUUUAACCUAGUUAAUUUUAUAUUAAAAUAUUUUUUUUUUUAAACUACAAUUUUAUAUUUUAACACAUGUAUUAAUUUGUACACUAUUUAUAACUAAAAUGUGACUUGUAAAAAAAGUAGCUAUGAUAUCGGUUUUUACGAGGUCAAAUAAUAUCCAUUUCAAUAGCGGUCUAUAAAUCAACUAAUUAAUCGUACUAUAUGCUUAUUAACUUAUUUGCAAUAAUACUAGAUUUAUGAUCAAAUUAAAAAUAUUUGUAUUUUUAUGUGUUUUUAAAAGCAGAUGAAAAUUAGACAUUUUGCAAAUUGAAUCCCUUCCUGAGGUGUCAUCAGAACGCAUGAAAUCUGUGCAACUACGUAGGUUUGUUCGAUAUUUUAAUUUUUAAGCGAUUCGAGCAUCAAAAUACUGAAAUAUUUCAUAUAUGCAUAAUUUACUUAACAAUUAAAGUAGGUAUCGAAGACAAUCGGUAUAGAUCUACAGAUAAUUUUCUUAUCCUUAAAUUUGUAAAUUAGUCAAUUCACGCUAAUAUUAAAACGAACAGCAUAAUAAUAUUUUUGAUAAAUAAAAAUACGAGAAAUACUUUUGUGCAAGUAGAUGGGGUGUCAUUUAAAGUAUAUAACUUGAAAUAAUGUAAUCUAAACGUGUUGCUCAAUAUAAUAAAUAAUAACGAUUACUGUAAUUUUAAUGUCAGUUUAUAAUAA